This 1453-nucleotide ribosomal RNA is filed under the name uncultured prokaryote. RNAcentral describes it as "partial 16S ribosomal RNA". It matches the Rfam family "Bacterial small subunit ribosomal RNA". The record is from RNAcentral.
AUUGAACGCUGGCGGCAUGCUUAACACAUGCCAGUCGAACGGUGACAUUAUUAAAAGCUUGCUUUUAAUAGAUGACGAGUGGCGGACGGGUGCGUAACGCGUAGGAAUCUGCCCUAAAGAGGGGGAUAACCUAGGGAAACUUAGGCUAAUACCGCAUAAUCUCUACGGAGCAAAGGACAUAGUUUACUAUAUUCACUUUAAGAUGAGCCUGCGUUGGAUUAGCUAGUUGUUAGGGUAAAGGCCUAACAAGGCAAAGAUCCAUAGCUGUUCUGAGAGGAAGAUCAGCCACACUGGGACUGAGACACGGCCCAGACUCCUACGGGAGGCAGCAGUGGGGAAUAUUGGACAAUGGGCGAAAGCCUGAUCCAGCAAUGCCGCGUGUGUGAAGAAGGCCUGAGGGUUGUAAAGCACUUUCAGUUGUGAGGAAGUUGCAGCAACAGUGAUUGAUAUUACCCCCAGAAGAAGCACCGGCUAACUCUGUGCCAGCAGCCGCGGUAAUACAGAGGGUGCAAGCGUUAAUCGGAAUAACUGGGCGUAAAGGGUGCGUAGGCGGAACGUUAAGCUAGAUGUGAAAGCCCCGGGCUCAACCUGGGAAUAGCAUUUAGAACUGGCAGGCUAGAGUCUUGGAGAGGGGAGUGGAAUUUCUGGUGUAGCGGUGAAAUGCGUAGAUAUCUGAAGGAACAUCAGUGGCGAAGGCGACUCCCUGGCCAAAGACUGACGCUCAUGUGCGAAAGUGUGGGUAGCGAACAGGAUUAGAUACCCUGGUAGUCCACACCGUAAACGAUGUCUACUAGCUGUUUGUGGAUUAAUCCGUGAGUAGCGCAGCUAACGCGAUAAGUAGACCGCCUGGGGAGUACGGCCGCAAGGUUAAAACUCAAAUGAAUUGACGGGGGCCCGCACAAGCGGUGGAGCAUGUGGUUUAAUUCGAUGCAACGCGAAGAACCUUACCUACUCUUGACAUACUAGAAACUUUUCAGAGAUGAAUUGGUGCCUUCGGGAAUCUAGAUACAGGUGCUGCAUGGCUGUCGUCAGCUCGUGUUGUGAAAUGUUGGGUUAAGUCCCGUAACGAGCGCAACCCCUAUCCUUAGUUACCAGCGGUUCGGCCGGGAACUCUAGGGAGACUGGUGACAAACCGGAGGAAGGUGGGGAUGACGUCAAGUCAUCAUGGCCCUUAUGGGCAGGGCUACACACGUGCUACAAUGGACGGUACAGAGGGUGGCCAAGCCGCGAGGUGGAGCUAAUCCCAGAAAACCGUUCGUAGUCCGGAUUGCAGUCUGCAACUCGACUGCAUGAAGUCGGAAUCGCUAGUAAUCGCGGAUCAGAAUGCCGCGGUGAAUACGUUCCCGGGCCUUGUACACACCGCCCGUCACACCAUGGGAGUGGGCUGUACCAGAAGUGGCUAGCUUAACCUUUCGGGAGAUCGCUUACCACGGUAUGGUUCAUGACUGGGGUG